GUCCCCAUAGUCUAGCGGUCAGGACGCGGCCCUUUCAAGGCUGAGACACGAGUUCGAUUCUCGUUGGGGGCA
RNAcentral lists this transfer RNA (72 nucleotides) under Denitrobacterium detoxificans. It matches the Rfam family "tRNA". From Rfam's summary of the family: Transfer RNA (tRNA) molecules are approximately 80 nucleotides in length. Their secondary structure includes four short double-helical elements and three loops (D, anti-codon, and T loops). The record is from Rfam by way of RNAcentral. Lineage: Bacteria; Bacillati; Actinomycetota; Coriobacteriia; Eggerthellales; Eggerthellaceae.